UACGUAGGGCGCAAGCGUUGUCCGGAAUUAUUGGGCGUAAAGAGCUCGUAGGCGGUUUGUCGCGUCUGGUGUGAAAACUCAAGGCUCAACCUUGAGCUUGCAUCGGGUACGGGCAGACUAGAGUGCGGUAGGGGUGACUGGAAUUCCCGGUGUAGCGGUGAAAUGCGCAGAUAUCGGGAGGAACACCGGUGGCGAAGGCGGUUCUCUGGGCCUGUACUGACGCUGAGGAGCGAAAGCGUGGGGAGCGAACAGG
RNAcentral lists this ribosomal RNA (253 nucleotides) under uncultured bacterium. Its description in RNAcentral is "partial 16S ribosomal RNA". It matches the Rfam family "Bacterial small subunit ribosomal RNA", at positions 524 to 776 of the family's 1533-position model. The record is from RNAcentral.